This is a long non-coding RNA of Vicia villosa (hairy vetch), 1595 nucleotides long. RefSeq lists it as uncharacterized. NCBI's taxonomy places the organism in Eukaryota, Viridiplantae, Streptophyta, Magnoliopsida, Fabales, Fabaceae. The transcript has 3 exons. The record is from RefSeq and is a predicted model, not a curated record.
UACCGAAAUGAUGUACUUAUUUAUGAGGGGUGGUUGGUGAUUUCUGCACAAACUGAACCGGUGCCUAAAUUACUCAAUUAAAUCCAUAGUACACCUCAUGGAGGACAGUGGCAACCAGACACCAACACCUGUAUGUAGCAUAGUGGGUCUGGGAGGGAUUGAGGAAUAUUUUGAACUUAAAGCAUGGGUUUAUGUUUCUGAAUAUUUUGAUGCUGUUGGAUUCACCAAAGCAAUUCUCAAGUCAAUUAUUCUCCAGCAGAUGAUGAAUCUAUUCUCAGUUUACUUCAACAGACAGAGACUUCAACACAUACUCAUAGGCAAAAAAUACUUGCUUGUUUUAUAUGAUAUCUGGAACGGGAAUGCAGAUUUUUGGGAUCUCAUGGAAGUAAGAUUAUAGUAACAACUCGUGACAAGGAGGUAGCAAAUGUUUUGAAAUCCACCAAGUUAUUUGAUUUAAAAAAAUUGAAGAAAAGCUAUUGUUGGAGUUUAUUUAUGACACAUGCAUUUCAUGGCAAAAAUGUGUGUGAAAAUUCAAACCUUGAAUCAAUUGGCAGAAGAAUUAUGGAAAAGUGUGGAGGAUUGCCUUUAGCUGUAAAAACAAUAGGCCAACUGCUGCGGAAAAAAUUCUCUCAACAUGAAUGGAUGAAGAUAUUGGAGACUGAUAUGUGGUGUUUAUCCAAUGGGGACAACAACAUUAAUCCAGUGCUGAGAUUGAGUUACCAUAAUCUACCUUCCAAUCUUAAACGUUGUUUUGCUUAUUGUUCUAUAUUUCCUAAAUGUUAUUGGUUUAGAAAAGGUGAUUUAAUCAGGAUUUGGAUGGCAGAAGGUUUGCUUAAGUGUUGCAGAAUAGAAAAAAAGUGCAGAAGAGUUGGGUAAUGAAAUUUUUGGUGAGAAUUUUGUAUGCCAAUGGACGCAUCUAAUGCGGAAGGUAUCCCUGAAAGAUGCCCAAAACGCAGCUUGCUUUGAAUGUGUUGUAUUCACAAGUGGCUGUGUGGAUGAUAUGGAAAAGACGUAAACUAGAAGAUUUGAGAAAGUACUGAGACCAAUCAAACUAUCAAUUUGCAUUGCUCAGGGAGAUGUGCUACACAUAAGGCAACAGUGAAAGUUCAGCUUUCAUCCUCGGCAAACUAUCAUCGCAGAAGGUGCUAAAAGGCAUGGAUAUAACAAAAUCGUAUGCAUCGUGAUUAUGUUCUUCCGGGUAAUUAUGCUCUCCCAACUCUUUCUUUUCUAAUAAAAUUUUCUUGAACAUAGAAAUUAACUCCUUUUUCUUCAUACCAGCAGCGGUCAAUGUAGACUUUUCUUUGGUAACCAAUUCUAUAAAUAAGAUUUUAUAGUAUAGAGUCUUCAUAUCAAGCUCAAGUUCAUCCACCUUAUGUUUCUGCAUUUACAAAUUUCAUUUCAAUUAUUAGGUAAGCCGAAUUUAAGAACCACUUCUAUUUAAACUAUUUUGUAAACUAACCUUUUUUUUCUCAUAACAAGACAGCCGAUAUUCCAUAAAUUCUGUAAGAACUGCGUAAUGAAAUAAUUCAAACAUGGUUAUACACUGCAUAAAAAAAAAGUAUAUGGAAAAGAAAAGACAGUUACAUACUUUCUUC